UAAAAGUCGUAACAAGGUUUCCGUAGGUGAACCUGCGGAAGGAUC
RNAcentral lists this ribosomal RNA (45 nucleotides) under Parmotrema haitiense. Its description in RNAcentral is "partial 18S ribosomal RNA". It matches the Rfam family "Eukaryotic small subunit ribosomal RNA", at positions 1783 to 1827 of the family's 1831-position model. The record is from RNAcentral. Lineage: Eukaryota; Fungi; Ascomycota; Lecanoromycetes; Lecanorales; Parmeliaceae.